GACGAACGCUGGCGGCGUGCUUAACACAUGCAAGUCGAACGGAAAGGCCCUGCUUUUUUGGGGUGCUCGAGUGGCGAACGGGUGAGUAACACGUGAGUAACCUGCCCUUUACUUUGGGAUAACUUCAGGAAACUGGGGCUAAUACCGGAUAGGAGCUCCUGCUGCAUGGUGGGGGUUGGAAAGUUUCGGCGGUUGGGGAUGGACUCCCGGCUUAUCAUCUUGUUUGUGGGGGAGUGGCUUACCAAGGCAUUGACGGGUCGCCGGCAUGAGAGGGUGACCGGCGACAAUGGUACUGCGAUACGGACCAGACUCCUACGGGAGGCAGUAGUGGGGAAUAUUGCACAAUGGGCGGAAGCCUGAUGCAGAAACGCCGCGUGCGGGAUGACGGCCUUCGGGUGGUAAACCGCUUUCGCCUGUGACGAAGAGUGAGUGACGGUAAUGGGUAAAGAAGCACCGGCUAACUACGUG
This 468-nucleotide ribosomal RNA is filed under the name uncultured bacterium. RNAcentral describes it as "partial 16S ribosomal RNA". It matches the Rfam family "Bacterial small subunit ribosomal RNA", at positions 28 to 507 of the family's 1533-position model. The record is from RNAcentral.